Dipodomys spectabilis (banner-tailed kangaroo rat) is the source of this 197-nucleotide long non-coding RNA. RefSeq lists it as uncharacterized. The record is from RefSeq and is a predicted model, not a curated record. NCBI's taxonomy places the organism in Eukaryota, Metazoa, Chordata, Mammalia, Rodentia, Heteromyidae. The transcript is spliced from 3 exons.
UUUAUGAAGUUACCAAGUUAUUUUACAUAAGUUGGUGUUUUGUGUUUUCUAAUAAAAGAAAAGGCUCUUCCUUAAUAUUUUUUAUCAUUAAUUUUCUAAAAAUGCCUAUUUUCUUAAAUUUACAGCAUAAGAAUAUCUUUUUUCUACCUCAGAGGUAGCUUCUUAGCAUGGUCUGUCACAGAAUAUUUAAGGAUCAG